This 635-nucleotide ribosomal RNA is filed under the name uncultured archaeon. Its description in RNAcentral is "bacterial SSU rRNA". It matches the Rfam family "Archaeal small subunit ribosomal RNA", at positions 6 to 616 of the family's 1478-position model. The record is from RNAcentral.
GGUUGAUCCCGCCGGACCCUACUGCUAUCUGGGUGGGACUAAGACAUGCGAGUCGAACGACCCCUAGCCAUGAAGGGGACGUGGCAUACGGCUCAGUAACACGUGGCUGACCUACCCUCGAGACAGGGACAACCCCGGGAAACUGGGGCUAAUCCCAGAUAGAUGAGAACACUUGGAACGGGUUCUUGUCGAAAAGGCACCAAGAUCAUGCUUCUUGGCGUCGCUCAAGGAUGGGGCCGCGUCCGAUCAGGCUGUUGGUGAGGCAACGGCUCACCAAACCUAUAACCGGUACGGGCCGUGGGAGCGGGUGCCCGGAGAUGGGAACUGAGACAAGGUCCCAGGCCCUACGGGGCGCAGCAGUUACGAAAACUUGUCAAUGCACGAAAGUGUGAACGGGCUACCCCGAGUGCCGUCCGCUGAGGAUGGCUUUUCUCUGCUGUAAGAAAGCGGAGGAAUAAGGCGAGGGCAAGCCUGGUGUCAGCCGCCGCGGUAAUACCAGCUCGCCGAGUGGUAGGGAUGAUUAUUGGGCUUGAAGCGUCCGUAGCCGGCCUCUCAAGUCUCUCGUUAAAUCCAGCGAUUCAAUCGUUGGACUGCGGGAGAUACUGUGAGGCUAGGGGGCGGAAAAGCCGACGGUU